This 253-nucleotide ribosomal RNA is filed under the name uncultured bacterium. Its description in RNAcentral is "partial 16S ribosomal RNA". It matches the Rfam family "Bacterial small subunit ribosomal RNA", at positions 524 to 776 of the family's 1533-position model. The record is from RNAcentral.
UACAGAGGUCUCAAGCGUUGUUCGGAUUCAUUGGGCGUAAAGGGUGCGUAGGUGGCGGGGUAAGUCAGGUGUGAAAUCUCGGGGCUCAACCCCGAAACUGCACUUGAUACUGCUUUGCUCGAGUACUGGAGAGGAGAUUGGAAUUUACGGUGUAGCAGUGAAAUGCGUAGAUAUCGUAAGGAAGACCAGUGGCGAAGGCGAAUCUCUGGACCGUAACUGACGCUGAGACACGAAAGCGUGGGUAGCAAACAGG